UCCUGGCUCAGAAUGAACGUUGGCGGCGUGGAUUAGGCAUGCAAGUCGAGCGCUCAUAGCAAUAUGGGAGCGGCGAACGGCGUAGGAAUUCAUAGGAACGUACCCUCAGGUCGGGGAUAGCUACGGGAAACUGUAGGUAAUACCCGAUGAUCUCUGCGGAGCAAAGGUGUGAUUCCGCCUGAGGAGCGGCUUAUGUGAUAUUAGCUAGUUGGUGGGGUAAUGGCUUACCAAGGCGAAGAUGUCUAGGGGGUGUGAGAGCAUGGCCCCCACGACCGGAACUGAGAUACUGUCCGGACACCUACGGGUGGCUGCAGUCGAGAAUCUUCCGCAAUGGACGAAAGUCUGACGGAGCGACGCCGCGUGCGGGGAUGAAGGCCCUUGGGUUGUAAACCGCUUUCGGAGGGGAUGAAAUCCUCGAGGGUACUCCCUCGAGGUUGACAGAGCCUCAAAAGAAGCACGGGCUAAGUACGUGCCAGCAGCCGCGGUAACACGUACUGUGCGAACGUUAUUCGGAAUCACUGGG
RNAcentral lists this ribosomal RNA (523 nucleotides) under uncultured bacterium. RNAcentral describes it as "bacterial SSU rRNA". It matches the Rfam family "Bacterial small subunit ribosomal RNA", at positions 17 to 558 of the family's 1533-position model. The record is from RNAcentral.